AUUGAACGCUGGCGGCAGGCCUAACACAUGCAAGUCGAACGGUAACAGGAAGCAGCUUGCUGCUUUGCUGACGAGUGGCGGACGGGUGAGUAAUGUCUGGGAAACUGCCUGAUGGAGUGGGAUAACUACUGGAAACGGUAGCUAAUACCGCAUAACGUCGCAAGACCAAAGAGGGGGACCUUCGGGCCUCUUGCCAUCGGAUGUGCCCAGAUGGGAUUAGCUAGUAGGUGGGGUAACGGCUCACCUAGGCGACGAUCCCUAGCUGGUCUGAGAGGAUGACCAGCCACACUGGAACUGAGACACGGUCCAGACUCCUACGGGAGGCAGCAGUGGGGAAUAUUGCACAAUGGGCGCAAGCCUGAUGCAGCCAUGCCGCGUGUAUGAAGAAGGCCUUCGGGUUGUAAAGUACUUUCAGCGGGGAGGAAGGGAGUAAAGUUAAUACCUUUGCUCAUUGACGUUACCCGCAGAAGAAGCACCGGCUAACUCCGUG
RNAcentral lists this ribosomal RNA (490 nucleotides) under uncultured bacterium. RNAcentral's name for it is "partial 16S ribosomal RNA". It matches the Rfam family "Bacterial small subunit ribosomal RNA", at positions 30 to 507 of the family's 1533-position model. The record is from RNAcentral.